CCUACGGGAGGCAGCAGUGGGGAAUAUUGGACAAUGGGGGGAACCCUGAUCCAGCCAUGCCGCGUGUGUGAAGAAGGCCCUCGGGUUGUAAAGCACUUUCAGUGAGGAAGAACGCCUGGUGGUUAAUACCCAUCAGGAAAGACAUCACUCACAGAAGAAGCACCGGCUAACUCCGUGCCAGCAGCCGCGGUAAUACGGAGGGUGCGGGCGUUAAUCGGAAUUACUGGGCGUAAAGCGCGCGUAGGUGGCUUGAUAAGCCGGUUGUGAAAGCCCCGGGCUCAACCUGGGAACGGCAUCCGGAACUGUCAAGCUAGAGUGCAGGAGAGGAAGGUAGAAUUCCCGGUGUAGCGGUGAAAUGCGUAGAGAUCGGGAGGAAUACCAGUGGCGAAGGCGGCCUUCUGGACUGACACUGACACUGAGGUGCGAAAGCGUGGGUAGCAAACAGGAUUAGAUACCCGGGUAGUC
RNAcentral lists this ribosomal RNA (465 nucleotides) under Vreelandella stevensii. Its description in RNAcentral is "partial 16S ribosomal RNA". It matches the Rfam family "Bacterial small subunit ribosomal RNA", at positions 338 to 795 of the family's 1533-position model. The record is from RNAcentral. Lineage: Bacteria; Pseudomonadati; Pseudomonadota; Gammaproteobacteria; Oceanospirillales; Halomonadaceae.